AUCAGAACAUGCUGUUUCAUCAGAACCCUGCAAAAAUGCCUCAGAGCUAGCAGGACCGCUCGCAACUUCAGGUAGUUUAUGUGGAGCUUGGAUUGGGUUCAUGUCCAGACCCCCCUCACCCCUACGCCAUCGCAUAUUGCCCCCCACCCCUUCAGAGAAGCAUCUGUGGACAACACUUUGCGAACGGACACCCUGACGAUUGGAGACCCACGGUACAGCAGUUAUCGUCAGCCUUCUUUGCAGGUGCCGUGACAUACACCACCGAUGAGAGCGUCCACCGCUGCAUCAGACGCAUUUUUAACUGUCCGAGUGACACCACUGCGAUCAUGGAGGCCAUCAUUCCCAGUCUGGAAGUGCAGUUUGCACCCCAACUGAAACUGAGCGAGGCACCGAAGAAACGCGGUCAUACGGUGCUUUGAGAGACGAGCUCGAGCUGACAGGGAGCAUAUUUCCAGCCCCAGGAAUGAGAACUGCUGGCUCGGGUUCAGUGAACUUUUCUGAAAGUUUGUCGAGAAUCCCAGGGGACAGCACCUGCAGCAGCUGUUUUGCCGCCUGCUCUUUGGAUCUAGCUAUUAAAGCCCAGUCAUCCAGAUAAACUAGAAUGCGAAUUCCCUUUUCUCUGAGAGGGGCUAGCACUGCCUCCACAAUUUUCGUAAAUGUGCGAGGGGCGAGCAACAGACCGAAGGGUAAGACAAGGUACUCGUAGGCUAUUCCGUUUAAAGCAAACCUCAGAAAAUGCCUGUGUUCUGGGUGUAUUGCUACGUGAAAGUAAGCAUCCGUCAGAUUGAUUGUUGCAAACCAAUCGCCUGGGCCGACAGCGUUCAAAAGUUGUCUCAGCGUCAACAUUUUGAAUCUGUACUUGCUAAGAUGCUUAUUUAACACUCUUAAAUCCAGGAUGGGACGUAGCCCACCUCCCUUCUUUGGAACAACAAAAUAGCAGCUGUAUCAUCCUCAGUUUGCUUCCAAAGUGGGAACCACACGCACUGCUCCUUUUGCCAACAACGUGUUUAUUUCGUCUCUCAGAACUUUCGCUGCUUCGGUGCCUAUGUUUAUAACUGAUUGGGAACCGGGGCGGCCUUAUCCGGAACUGCAACCGAUAACCCGUAGCAACGGUCCUUUCCAUCCAUGGGGAAAGUGCGCAUGCGUGCCAAAGAGUACGGUGCAGCCAGACAGUUGACCUGACGCACUGUUGGGCAAGGAGGUGCUGCCCUCUGCUGGAACAGAGAGGAGCAGCUCCGUUUGACUGUUGUGCACGUUAUGGCACAGAGUGUUUUGAUUUUGAUUUUUUGGCAAAGGAAUUGCACUCUUUAUUGAAACAUGUGGAACAGUUACACAAACAUUCCGAACAUUUUCUCUCGUAUCUUGAGAAACAUUUUACCUAUCCCUCCCCAGUGAGAGCGCCGCACAGCGGGAUGUGCGAAGAAUAUAAUCCGCAGAGAUUCUGAUCUCAUUUAAGAGGGGAAUCAGAUGGCUAUCAGGAGGUAUCUGCACUCCUAGCUCGGACAAGCACGUAGCUUGAUAAGUUUGAAGCAUGGUGGCCGAGCUCAGGGCGCGAGCAGUGGUUGCUUGUAUGUCCCAGUUGGACACCUGAGAAAUCGCUGAGUGGACAAUAGGCAUGAAUACGUAUACGCUGAGUCCUACUUACAUCACCGCCAUCUUGAAAGUGGCAGAGGAGAAAACGUGAUGCAUAGACUAGUUUAAACGGUUUUACAGUACAAAGUAGACCCACUGCCUUUAUCUUUGACAGGUAAGAAUUAAAGAUAAUAAUAAUGUAAAUUUACUAGCAGAAUUUCUUGACUUUGUGGCCAGUACUGUGCAUUUCCAUGGUUAAACAAACUUCUAAACAGCCAAGAAAUAUUUCCUUUGUAACUAAAUUGGCCCAGUUAACUACUCUGACUAUUUUCUUAGCUUAGCUAACUUUUUUAAUACUGUGUAGUUUUUCUAAAGAGGGAGAGGCAAUGAGAAACAUGUAGCUAAUGGGCGCUUUUGCCGUUUGUUUAUUGUUGCCAUGGUUACCUAGAAGUUCGUUAGACAAGUCGCUGUUUGUCUGGUCAAACAUGGUUACUUUAAGGUACGUCAGUUGUUUGUAAGAUGUUUCUUAUAAUUUAUGUAGAUUAAAAUCAUUUGUUUGAUAUAACAGUGAACCUGAAGUGGACUGAAAGUACAUUAAUCCAGAGAGCAGCGUGGAGACCGGGGGAUUUCAUCAGGACAGGUCCAUAAAGAUCAGAGCUGGAGCUGUUUUUCUUCAGACUUCUGUUUCGCAGCUCAUCUCCACAAUGUCUGUGUUUAGAUGAUAAGUAAAUGCCACAUAUGGUGAAGAUAUAUAUAUUUUUUCUGAAUGUGAAUGAAUCAGGGAUGUACAGUAGUUUCUAUUACACUUCUAUUGUUAGAUCAUUUUUAUCAUUUGCUUUAACCUGUGGCUAGCCAACUGUUCCCUCACUUCCACCUAAUGUUGUGUUCCGGGGUUCUUUGUUUUCUUUGUGGUCACUACUUACCAUUCAGCCUCUAGAUGGUGCCAGACUCACCCUCCUGGAGUUGUGUGCAGUCAAUCAGCGCACCUGAAUCUAAUCAGCUUAUCGAGCAGGGCGUACAAGAGGAGCUGACUGCCAGUACUUCGGCGCCUGAGUGUUAGCCAGUAACGGUACCUCUGAGCCUCCUAGAGCUAGUUUCAGUUAUCCUCGUUUGACUUGACCUCCUAGUGAUUUCUCCCUGUUAUUUCCUGCCUUCAGGUGAAUCCUCAAGACGCCAUGGAUCUUCCUUGAGUCGAUCUCAUCUGGUUUCCUGAUCGAAACCCUCCUCGUGACGCUGCGGAACGUACCCGCUGGUUACCCGAGUUUCCAAACUCACCUCCUCCGUCUGAUUGCAAGUUCCUCCGGGAUCCCUCGACUGGCAGUCGCACCGCUCCUCUGAUUCCGCUGUACCUGAGCCUACCUGCCUGCCCUCCGACGCACUCCACCUGUGCCUUCUGGAUUCCUGCCGUUCAGCACCGACCACCUGGACCCACAAAGAGACAAAAGACCCUGGACAUUUCAGUAAACCCGCCCAAGACGAUAAUUCUCAUCCUCACAAUGUGCCAAUCUUUCCGUGAGCCCGUUCCUUCCCUGGACCAGACCCGUUACUCCACAUUCACCAUUUGUUGUGUUCAAAAUAAACUCUUAACUAUAUACAUCUUCUCCUGUGUUGUGUUCUGCAUGUGGGCUAGAAAAUUGGAACCCAUCAUGACACCUAAUGUUAGACCAACCUGUUGCUUUCCCCUGUCUGUCCUGAUUCAUCUUCUCUUCUUUCUCUCCAUCCUCACAGCUGAAUGACAUUCAUUUUGUGUUAAGUAGGUUUAAAAAUACAGUAGUCAAACCACAUAAAAAAUUAAUUUUUAAAUGUUCUUGUUGGAUAACAGCUACUGUAUCUGAUCUGACUUAUCAGAUGCAUCACAACACCACUGUAGUGACAUUGAGUAAAGACAUUUAAACUCAAGUGUCUCCCUGCCAAGUCCCAGAAGAAGGGUCACCAACCUUUUUGAGUCUAAGGGCUUUGGUGACACUGAGGACUAAUUUGUUUGAUACACACAUAAACUUAUACAACUCAUUUUUAAUUAAAGUAUUAAUAAUAAUAAAUGUACAUGUGUGAAUAAAUUGCAGCCUAGAAAGCAAUUUAAAAAGAAUUAAACAAAAAAUAGGCCAAUAUUUUAUUUAAUAUAUGAGCCACUUCCACCAGCCUCUAGAACCGCCUAUGGGCUGCAGGUCUGAGGCAUUUUGUUAGCAUGUUUUCCUCCAUUCUUAUAGCUUGAUAAGAAUAAAGUCAGGUUAUCCAAACUGGGAACCCACAUUAAUAAAAUACUGGAAUAAUAUUGACCACAUAAUUAUCACGUAUUUAUAAAGGAUAUCAACAUUUUUCCUACACAGAUACCCUAACAAACUAAUGU
Molecule: long non-coding RNA, 3919 nt
Organism: Xiphophorus couchianus (Monterrey platyfish)
Lineage: Eukaryota; Metazoa; Chordata; Actinopteri; Cyprinodontiformes; Poeciliidae
Exons: 2
Source: RefSeq, a predicted model, not a curated record